ACAAAGGGAAACUUUUGCUAAAACCGGAUGAAUAAAUAGGAGGCAUCUCCUAAUUAUAAAAGCACCUAAGGGUGUGGACAUGGAUGGACCUGCGGCGUAUUAGCCAGUUGGCGGGGUAACGGCCCACCAAAGCGAUGAUACGUAGCCGGCCUGAGAGGGUAAACGGCCACACUGGGACUGAGACACGGCCCAGACUCCUACGGGAGGCAGCAGUAGGGAAUUUUCGUCAAUGGGGGGAACCCUGAACGAGCAAUGCCGCGUGAGUGAAGAAGGCCUUCGGGUCGUAAAGCUCUGUUGUAAGAGAAAAACGGUCAUUAUAGGGAAUGAUAAUGAAGUGAUGGUAUCUUACCAGAAAGCCACGGCUAACUACGUGCCAGCAGCCGCGGUAAUACAUAGGUGGCAAACGUUAUCCGGAAUGAUUGGGCCUAAA
This 430-nucleotide ribosomal RNA is filed under the name uncultured bacterium. Its description in RNAcentral is "bacterial SSU rRNA". It matches the Rfam family "Bacterial small subunit ribosomal RNA", at positions 146 to 564 of the family's 1533-position model. The record is from RNAcentral.